CCUGAGAAGGAUAGCACAGUCUUAUCCAUGCAAGUGUGAUAUAAGGAGAAGAUAGAAAACCACACCACUCGGAGCCAUUUGUGAGCAAUAUGCGAGUGUCUCAGAGAGGGAGAUAGGUGGUACGUUUAUGUAGGGAAGAGGGUGGUGGUGGGAUGGUCUUCCAGGACGAUUACUUGCGGAAGUAUCAACCGCUCAUGAGGUUUAUUACCGGAGGUGGCCGUGAAGGGCUCUUCUCCG
This 237-nucleotide long non-coding RNA is filed under the name Musa acuminata (dwarf banana). Its description in RNAcentral is "long non-coding RNA (MACU_LNC005366)". The record is from RNAcentral. Lineage: Eukaryota; Viridiplantae; Streptophyta; Magnoliopsida; Zingiberales; Musaceae.